GACGAACGCUGGCGGCGUGCCUAACACAUGCAAGUCGAACGGGACCAGGGGCAACUCUGGUUCAGUGGCGGACGGGUGCGUAACACGUGAGGAACAUGACCUUCGGCGGGGGAGUAGCCGGCCCAACCGGCCGGGUAAGUACCGCGUACGACCAUUCGGGGACGAUCCCUCGGAUGGUGAAAGACAGCAAUGCGCCGAUGGAGUGCCUCGCGGCCUAUCAGCUAGUUGGUGAGGUAACGGCNCACCAAGGCGACGACGGGUAGCUGGUCUGAGAGGAUGGCCAGCCACAUUGGGACUGAGACACGGCCCAGACUCCUACGGGAGGCAGCAGUGGGGAAUAUUGCGCAAUGGACGAAAGUCUGACGCAGCGACGCCGCGUGUGGGAUGACGUC
Molecule: ribosomal RNA, 392 nt
Filed under: uncultured bacterium
Lineage: Bacteria
Description: bacterial SSU rRNA
Rfam family: Bacterial small subunit ribosomal RNA
Source: RNAcentral